Molecule: long non-coding RNA, 267 nt
Filed under: Panicum hallii
Lineage: Eukaryota; Viridiplantae; Streptophyta; Magnoliopsida; Poales; Poaceae
Description: long non-coding RNA (PHAL_LNC000325)
Source: RNAcentral
GGCAACGAAGGCAAGUUCUUCUUCUCUACUGAAAACUACUGAAAAAGGAUGAAGAACAACGCGGACUCCUAUAAGAUACGGACAGUUCUUCUUCAGAACUCGGCUUGAUUAAUUGCUAAUAACCCUACUUUCGGCGGAAAAAAAGAAAGGGGAAAUAAGAACAAUUGAUCAAGUAGUAGAUGUACUUGAUGGGUGUAUGCAUCAUCUAAAGUGGCUGAGGUGGCUGGUGUGGUGGUGCCUGCAUUCAUCAAGGCCACAGCAUUGUAU